RNAcentral lists this ribosomal RNA (426 nucleotides) under uncultured bacterium. RNAcentral describes it as "bacterial SSU rRNA". It matches the Rfam family "Bacterial small subunit ribosomal RNA", at positions 356 to 773 of the family's 1533-position model. The record is from RNAcentral.
AGGGAAUCUUCCGCAAUGGACGAAAGUCUGACGGAGCAACGCCGUGUGAGUGAUGAAGGUUUUCGGAUCGUAAAACUCUGUUGUUAGGGAAGAACAAGUACCGUUCGAAUAGGGCGGUACCUUGACGGUACCUAACCAGAAAGCCACGGCUAACUACGUGCCAGCAGCCGCGGUAAUACGUAGGUGGCAAGCGUUGUCCGGAAUUAUUGGGCGUAAAGCGCGCGCAGGCGGUUUCUUAAGUCUGAUGUGAAAGCCCCCGGCUCAACCGUGGAGGGUCAUUGGAAACUGGAAGACUUGAGUGCAGAAGAGGAGAGUGGAAUUCCACGUGUAGCGGUGAAAUGCGUAGAGAUGUGGAGGAACACCAGUGGCGAAGGCGACUCUCUGGUCUGUAACUGACGCUGAGGCGCGAAAGCGUGGGGAGCAAAC